CCUAAGGGAGGCAGCAGUGAGGAAUAUUGGUCAAUGGCCGGAAGGCUGAACCAGCCAUGCCGCGUGAAGGUCAGUGCCCUAUGGGCGUUAAACUUCUUUUGUGCGGGAGCAAUAAUGGUCACGUGUGGCCAGACGAGAGUACCGUACGAAUAAGCAUCGGCUAACUCCGUGCCAGCAGCCGCGGUAAUACGGGGGAUGCAAGCGUUAUCCGGAUUUAUUGGGUUUAAAGGGUGCGUAGGCUGUGAGGUAAGUCAGCGGUGAAAUGCCCCCGCUCAACGGGGUGAAGUGCCAUUGAUACUGCCUUGCUGGAAUGCGGAUGCCGUGGGAGGAAUGUGUGGUGUAGCGGUGAAAUGCAUAGAUAUCACACAGAACACCGAUUGCGAAGGCAUCUCACGAAUCCGCGAUUGACGCUGAUGCACGAAAGCGUGGGUAUCAAACAGGAUUAGAUACCCGAGUAGUC
This 460-nucleotide ribosomal RNA is filed under the name uncultured bacterium. RNAcentral describes it as "partial 16S ribosomal RNA". It matches the Rfam family "Bacterial small subunit ribosomal RNA", at positions 338 to 795 of the family's 1533-position model. The record is from RNAcentral.